AAGAUUUCAACCCAAGAACUCCAAAAACCCAAAAAUGAAUACACGAAGUUCACAUGCAAUUAAAAUUAUAUAUAUAAUAAUUGUAAAACCAUUCAUGAUUCCGAACUGAAAACACACAUCCAAUUAACUGCUAGUCCAGCAUUUGACAAAUACUGAUUUGCAAUCGUCAAGAGGCAAAAUUUACUAAAAGCCAACAGCUGCAAUCGCAUCAGACAAAAACUAUAUUAUACUCGUAAGACGACCAAUUUACUAAAAUUUAAUAGCAUAUAUGAUAUUUCAAAAGGUUCAUAUUGACUAGGUAGAGUAAUAAAAUUCAUAGAUUCUACACAUUUAAAAACAUAAUUUAGAAUUUGCAUGGAGAUGGUACAUCUCCAACAACUUCGACUAGAUAAAAAUACUUCUACCCAAACAAAAUGUAGUAACUAAUGCCAAUAUCCUCUGUGACUCCCAUCCCAAAAUAAGAGCUUACUUCUUUUCCACAUUAGCCUUUUUUCCAGAUCCAUCCUCUUCUGUUGCUUCUGAAACUACAUCAUCUUCCCUUUUCCUCUUGUUAGAUUCAUUGUUAGGUGUGGAGUCCCCUUUCUCAUUUUCAACAGAAGAAUCUUUCUUACUCUUGUCAGAUGCAUUUUGCUCAUUCUCCUUUGAGUCAUCAGUCUUAAACACAAACUCAGAUUCAGCAAAGUAGGCUUUCACUGAUGAAAGAGCCCUGUAUCGAUGAGAAAUUUUGUUCUUUUCUUCCUUUGGCAUCUCUGCAAAAGUUUGCUCAUAGCCAUCAGGUUGAAAAAUUGGAUCCCAUCCAAAAUCCUUGGGUCCCUUAGGAGGAACUAUUUUUCCCUAAAGGAUAGAGCAACAAGUCAAAUGUUGGUUCAAAACAAACACAUUUAAUAGAAUAAUACCAUAUGUUAUCACUUAAAGAAUAAUUAGAUCAUUUGAUUAAGAUUAAAAAACACUUUAAAGAGUACCAUAGUUUUCCCAUUAAAUGUUACUGGUUCAGAGUCAGCAUCAAGAGCAAAAGAAAAUGUACACAAUGCAUAAGCUGAUUUAUCCUCAUAGGCAUGCAGUAAGUUGUUCAAACCUUCAAGACCAGUCUUGUCCA
This 1096-nucleotide unclassified non-coding RNA is filed under the name Hevea brasiliensis (rubber tree). The record is from RNAcentral. Lineage: Eukaryota; Viridiplantae; Streptophyta; Magnoliopsida; Malpighiales; Euphorbiaceae.